This 283-nucleotide long non-coding RNA is filed under the name Prunus persica (peach). RNAcentral describes it as "long non-coding RNA (PPER_LNC008028)". Lineage: Eukaryota; Viridiplantae; Streptophyta; Magnoliopsida; Rosales; Rosaceae. The record is from RNAcentral.
UGAAAACAAGCUAUAUGUAUCUCUUCUAGCAACUCGCUUUGCCUCUUCCUUCUCAUCUUCAGUUUGCUUCUUCCAGAGAUCUUCUUUGAAGCAAGUUGCAGGAGAACAAAAAAACAAAAACAAAAAAAAACAAGCAGGCCUCUACUCUGUUUCUCGACCCCGAGUAAGCCAAAGAGAACAUAACCUAACUCUACAACCAAUUGUUGGCCCCAACAAGCUGGCUUGGGGGCUUCAUGCCAAGCAAAAUUCAAAGAAGGACACCAUGCCAUCCAAACAAGCAAAC